RNAcentral lists this ribosomal RNA (167 nucleotides) under Dischidia sagittata. Its description in RNAcentral is "5.8S ribosomal RNA". It matches the Rfam family "5.8S ribosomal RNA". From Rfam's summary of the family: 5.8S ribosomal RNA (5.8S rRNA) is a component of the large subunit of the eukaryotic ribosome. The record is from RNAcentral. Lineage: Eukaryota; Viridiplantae; Streptophyta; Magnoliopsida; Gentianales; Apocynaceae.
UACACGACUCUCGGCAACGGAUAUCUAGGCUCUCGCAUCGAUGAAGAACGUAGCAAGCUGCGAUACUUGGUGUGAAUUGCAGAAUCCCAUGAACCAUCGAGUCUUUGAACGCAAGUUGCGCCCGAAGCCAUUAGGCCAAGGGCACGUCUGCGUGGGCAUCACGCAUC